This 2304-nucleotide long non-coding RNA is filed under the name Equus asinus (donkey). Its description in RNAcentral is "lncRNA (ENSEASG00005038066.1)". Lineage: Eukaryota; Metazoa; Chordata; Mammalia; Perissodactyla; Equidae. The record is from RNAcentral.
CUAUACUAAGCCAAGGAAUUCCCAGGAGAAUGAGGAGGUUGGUACCAUUCACACCACUGAGGUCCCUAAGGUCGGGAAGAAGGCCGCUGUGAUGGAGAGUAAGCCCCAAUCGCCUGCAGACAGGAAGGGGAGGUAGCAGCCCUCUGGUUUGGAGCGAAAGGGCAGUAACCAUUGAUGUGGGGAUUCUUACUCUUCCUCUGAGGCAAACAGCCAAGGGAGAUUGUGGUAAACAUCCCAGAGAGGCCAAAAGGAAAGCAAAAAGCAGAGGGAAUUUUCCGGUAUUCCUUCUAUGGGACUCUGCAGUGUCAUUGUGCCUACCACAACAUGGGGAGCUCACGGCAAAAAAGAAAUGGUGCUAUGAUAGGUUAAGGCAGGGAGAGCUAGGGAGCAUGUUGAUUUGUGGUUGGAAAACAAUUGAGAGUUGAGAGCUAGGGGCACCUGCUGAAAAGCUGCAGCAGCAAGGCGUGAGGUGACUCCAGAGCAGAGGUUCUGGGGUGAUGGCCUAAGCCGGGGCUAGCUGGAGUAUACGGCUGAUGUUUAGAGGUGGCAGAAAUGAGGCUAGGUCAGCGAGAGGGGCCCACCAGGUGCAAACUGCACGGGGGCUGACCAUAGCCUCUUCUCAGCAGACCUGAGCAGAAAGUGUGGGUGGAUGUGAUGGAAGCACAUUCCUGAGGAGGCCUGCAGGGUCCGGGGAACACGCCUAUACCUGUGGGCCCAUGGCUGCUUCCCGCAGCACACUCCAGACGGGCUAGGGAGAGGGCAGGGGAGAAACUCCAAAAGUGGAGCAUUUGCCUCAAAGAAACUGAGUUACACGAAGAAAGACAGCUUGAAACUAAUCAGAUUGAGCUUCCUUUAUCUGGUCCUCUUCCCUCCAGGCCUGCCCUCCAUGACUCUCAACCUUGAAUAAGAAUGGGGGAGUCAGAAGAAAUCCAAAGCAGUUCUAGGAAAUUGAGUGCCACAUUCUUUUCUGCACGCCUGAGAAUUCGAGGACACUUAUGGGGACCUUCCCUGUACACGAAGUUGCUGUAGACAUGAUAAACAGAUGGCCUAGCAUUUGGCCCAGAUCCCAGCUGCAUCCCUGGUCUUGUUUCUGAUGUUUUGCCCUGUGUGGUUGAGUAUGUCUUAUGCACCUUUGCAUGCCCCAUUCCGGACACUACGACUCCCAUGAAUUGUCCAAAGAAAAUAAUUCAAAGGACUCAAAUAGAUGUUAAAGGCUUCAUUCAGCUGAUGAGGUCAGGGAGCACCUGAAGGCCAGCCAGGUAUAAAAUGAUGUGAUCAGACUACCAGAGCUCAAGAAGUCCCCAGUGAUCAAGGCUGAGCAGGAGGAAUGAGCAGAAGCUCACAGAAUUGGCGUGUAUCUCUAGCUUGAUGAAGCAGGCAUUUAAUACAGGGCAUUUCAUGAGAUCUGAGAAAGGAGAGCAGAGUCCCGGUCCCCUAAGAGCAAGCUCUCCCCCUCCUCCACUACUGUGCCCUCCGGCUUCAGAGAGGAGUCAGACUGAACUCUGCAUGUUGUACUAAGGAUCAAAUGAGGAAACCUGUGUGAAAGCACCUCACCCGCUAGAGGCCCUGGAAGCAAUGGCCUUCUCCUGCUUCUCCUGCAAACCCAACUCUCACAGAAGACACAGCCUGCUGAGGGCCCUGGCUCCACUCUCUAUGACCCAAGGGCAACGCGGUAUCACUUCCCUGCCACCAGUCUGGAGCCUGUGAAAGCUGAGUCCAGGAAGAGGAAAUUGGGACACAGACACGCACAGACGGAAAACCAUGUGAAGACACAAGGAGAAGACGGCUGUUUGCAAGCGAAGGAGAGAGGCCUCAGGAGAAACCAGCCCUGCCAACUCCUUGAUCUCAGACUCCAGAACGGAUCUGAACCUGUGAACCCCAGGCCGCCAAAGCGGAACGUGCGCACUUAACCGCUGUGCCACCGAGCUGGCCCCCUACAGUUUGAUUUUGAAGGACACAACUUACAAACAGCCAAAUGGAAGAGAUGCACAGGGCAAGGUAUGGGGAUGGGGGCACAGUGCUUCCAUCACCUCUCCAGGCAUGCCACGCCCCCAUCACAUCAACAUGUUCACCAACCCAGAAGCUCUCUCAGCCUCUUUGUUUCAGUAUUUUUAUCAAAGUUUUAUUGACUAAGCAUGAUUGAUUAAAUCAUUGGCCAUUGGUGACUGAACUCAAUCUCCCCCUCCCCUCCCCAGAAGACCAGGGUUGGGGCUGAUUGUUCUAACUGUCUAAUCAUGUGGCUGGUUCCUCUGGCAAUGAGCCCCCAUCCUGAAGCUAUCUAAGGACCCACAAAGAAUCACUUCA